AUGCCUUAAAUUUAUGAGUAAGAAAAAUAAUUGUUUGGGGUGAUACCUGAAGCCUCAUUGCUGACACGAGAGCAGAUUUUGAGUAGGUGAACCCUGCCCCUAAGGUGACCUGCUGAGUGAGAUGCCUGAGUACAGGCAUCCUC
This 143-nucleotide small nuclear RNA is filed under the name Meriones unguiculatus (Mongolian gerbil). RNAcentral describes it as "U12 minor spliceosomal RNA (ENSMUGG00000026548.1)". It matches the Rfam family "U12 minor spliceosomal RNA". Rfam says of the family: Although the U12 sequence is very divergent from that of U2, the two are functionally analogous. Lineage: Eukaryota; Metazoa; Chordata; Mammalia; Rodentia; Muridae. The record is from RNAcentral.